GGCAGACACUGAGACACUAAGGGACACUGGGAGACAUUAUGGCAGACAUUGAGACACUAAGGGGCACUGGGAGACAUUAUGGCAGACAUUGAGACACUAAGGGACACUGGGAGACAUUAUGGCAGACAUUGAGACACUAAGGGACACUGGGAGACAUUAUGGCAGACACUGAGACACUAAGGGACACUGGGAGACAUUAUGGCAGACACUAAGGGACACUGGGAGACAUGGGUCACUGAGACACUGAUACAUAGGAACACUGAGACCUGGAGUAAUCGACACAUGGGGGCACUGAGUCAUG
Molecule: non-coding RNA, 301 nt
Organism: Pelobates cultripes (western spadefoot toad)
Lineage: Eukaryota; Metazoa; Chordata; Amphibia; Anura; Pelobatidae
Source: the annotation of a GenBank genome assembly